Salvia miltiorrhiza (redroot sage) is the source of this 895-nucleotide long non-coding RNA. RefSeq lists it as uncharacterized. The record is from RefSeq and is a predicted model, not a curated record. The transcript has 2 exons. Lineage: Eukaryota; Viridiplantae; Streptophyta; Magnoliopsida; Lamiales; Lamiaceae.
AAUCUUAGUGGAGUUUAUCAAUCUCUAAAAACCAUUCUAAUUAAGAAGCCCCACUACGCCAAAUCCUCUUCUCCACGUCGUUCCUUCAUCUAUUUUUUAGACGCCGCUUGCCGGCGGACGCCUCCCCUCUCUCUCCACUUCUCUUUUCGUCGCCUCGUCCAUUUGUUUUCCGGCGAGCCGCUGUCACAUCUCCAGCCCGACGCACCCCUCAUCUCUCGGUUGGACUGACAUCAACAGAGAGCCAACACCACCACGACGGACAGCUGCGCCACUCAGCCGCCGCCACCCCUGCUUCUCCGUCGAGAAUGCCGCCUGUCGCCAUUCCCCCAUCUUCCCAUCUCAACAUCAUAUGCUCAUAAACUAAACUCAAAACAUACACCCACCCCAUCAUAUUCUCUCAUUUCUGUACACAUAUAUAUACAUUAUAGCAUUUGAUUUCUUAUGAAAUAUUUUAGAUUAUGAGCAUGUAUAAUGUGUUCUUUCAUUCGAGUGCAUACAGAAUUGGCUUGAUAGUCAUUGUGAUUAUGGUUUGAAAUAUAAGUUUCUUUCUUUCCUGCUGCUCGCUUCUUAUUUUCUCUUCAUGUAGGCAAUAUUUUACAAUUAUACUGGGGAUCUUCCAAAAGCUCUACUUCAUUUUCUUGAAUGUGGAAUCUGGCAUAAAGCACACUCUGUUUUCUUAACUUCAGCACCUUCUCUGUUUUUGUCAGGAAUAAUUGAAGCAGAUGUCAAGAUGCACCUUAACCAAUACGCUGGAUUACUUUUCGUCAACAAAGCUUCGUAGAAAAUUAGAAUAGUUUGAUUAAUUGUGCAGUGCUAUUAUGCAAUGCUUUUUGUAGUUGUGACAUAAAUAAUGUGUACUUUGAUAAUUAUUAAUAAAGUAAAUAUUUUUAUAUAA